Oncorhynchus tshawytscha (Chinook salmon) is the source of this 967-nucleotide long non-coding RNA. NCBI's taxonomy places the organism in Eukaryota, Metazoa, Chordata, Actinopteri, Salmoniformes, Salmonidae. The record is from Ensembl.
AGAUAUACAGUAAGCUGCUCUGUGGCUCAGAUAUAAAGUAAGGUGCUCUGUUGGCUCAGAUAUACAGUAAGCUGCUCUGUGGCUCAGAUAUACAGUAAGCUGCUCUGUGGCUCAGAUAUACAGUAAGCUGCUCUGUGGCUCAGAUAUAGGCUGUAUCCCACAUGGCACCCUGUGCCCUAUGGGUCCUGGUGGAAAGUGUGAACUAUAUAGGGAAUAGGGUGCCAUCUGGCACUCACCCAUACAGUAGGCUGCUCUGGCUUCGAUGGGUGAACAAAGCUCAUUGUUUCAGAGGAGGAUUGAUGGGUGACACUGCCUCCAACACCAAGGGGAGAUUAGGGGUCUGUCCUUACAUCCUGGUAUUCAACACCCGGGUCGGCCCGCUGCAAAACAACAUCAAACGCCAUCCUAUUCCUUAUAUAGUGUUCUACUGUUGAAGAGGGCCGAUGGGGCACUUCCAUAGGGACUGGGGUUCCAUUUGGGAUGCAGGACACAUGUCCAGGUGCCCCACUGCAGCCAGGCUCCUCAGUCUUCAGCUCCCCAGGCCCCAGGCUCCUCAGUCUUCAGCUCCCCAGGCUCCUCAGUCUUCAGCUCCCCCGGCCCCAGGCACUCCUCAGUCUUCAACUCCCCAGGCCCCAGGCUCCUCAGUCUUCAGCUCCCCAGGCCCCAGGCUCCUCAGUCUUCAGCUCCCCAGGCCCCAGGCACUCCUCAGUCUUCAGCUCCCCAGGCUCCUCAGUCUUCAGCUCCCCAGGCCCCAGGCUCCUCAGUCUUCAGCUCCCCAGGCCCCAGGCUCCUCAGUCUUCAGCUCCCCAGGCUCCUCAGUCUUCAGCUCCCCAGGCUCCUCAGUCUUCAGCUCCCCAGCCCCAGGCUCCUCAGUCUUCAUCUCCCCAGGCCCCAGGCUCCUCAGUCUUCAGCUCCCCAGGCCCCAGGCACUUCAACAUGAACACAUUGUCCGUACACUACCAUCAAG